This 1138-nucleotide long non-coding RNA is filed under the name Gadus morhua (Atlantic cod). RNAcentral describes it as "lncRNA (ENSGMOG00000035177.1)". The record is from RNAcentral. Lineage: Eukaryota; Metazoa; Chordata; Actinopteri; Gadiformes; Gadidae.
UUUAGAGAGUCCCGUACGAAAUUCAGUGUUAACAUCCGGGGACCCAAGAAAGAGCAAUCGAUCCUAGAUCGCGGUCAAACGAGUGGGCGCGUCGUUGGAUGCCUGACUCUCUCACGCGGGAAGGCGAAACUGAUUUAGCCAUGUCCAACGGCGACAGCAGCAGUAACAUUGCUUCGGAUGAGUUGGAUGACACUGCACAGGUCUGGAACACACACACCAUCAGGCCAUCGAAAAACCUUAACGUCCCCAGCGGUCGGCCGAACGUGAUGUUUGCAUUACCUGAACUCUAUGGGACAAGAGACUUCCUUUCCCCAAUUGAAGAUGGUGAUUUUCAACUGUGCAAAAAUGAAUGUAUCUUUCGCCAGACCAAACCGUUUGAUCCAGAUCUAUAUGAACUAUGCAACAUCUUUAUGGCUGAUUCCAAUCUCACUCUAGCAACAGAUCCAUAUCAGGCAGUGAAUUUGUACAUGCACCUCAGAGAGGCCAUCAGGGCAUGUGUGUAGGUCAGACGUAUUUAGUUGUGUCUUGUGUUGAGCUUCGAAGUGGCAGGAUUUUUUGGUCACAUAAGUAAUCCACCUUGCUGUCCUUUUCCUUUUAUAAGUUUCCUUUAAAGUCAUAGCUCAACAUCUCUAGCUUUUGGCAAAUGUUACAUUCCUACGAUAGUUUAGAAACACAGAAAUGAGGGGGGGCUUUAUAGACAAAGCCUGUAAAAAGUAAAUCAAAUGUGUAUCAAUUUCAGAACUUUACUUUAACAAAUGUAUCACUUUUUUCAGUUAGAAUUGUAUUUAACAAAAAAGGUAACUGGCUUCAGUAACUAAAUGUGAAUACUUAUUCUGAGUUUUUCUAGAUAGAAUAUCAUUGGAUUUCAAAUGAUGGGACCAAAAAAAUGGAUGUAUCUAUCUAUCGAACUCUGAACAUCUGAUUGCCAAUCAGUACAAACAUUGACGUGUUACCGACAGAAAAGCAUUUUGAAAAUAUCUGUUCAUUUACAACCUGUAGUUUCAAAUACUGAGAGAGGGGUUAAAAAACGACAACACACGCUAUUCAUGUUUUUGUUGAGACUGGAACAUUUUUUAUUACUGUAACUAUAUUGCUAUCCCGUAUGUGGAACUCUGAAUAAACAAAAAAUCGCCCAACA